ACGCUCGACACCUACGGGAGGCUGCAGUGGGGAAUAUUGCACAAUGGGGAAACCCGUGAUGCAGCGACGCCGCGUGAGCGAAGAAGUAUCUCGGUAUGUAAAGCUCUAUCAGCAGGGAAGAAGAUGACGGUACCUGACUAAGAAGCACCGGCUAAAUACGUGCAGCAGCCGCGGUAAUCUGAGCGGGCUGGCAAGGC
This 197-nucleotide ribosomal RNA is filed under the name uncultured bacterium. Its description in RNAcentral is "partial 16S ribosomal RNA". It matches the Rfam family "Bacterial small subunit ribosomal RNA", at positions 328 to 539 of the family's 1533-position model. The record is from RNAcentral.